RNAcentral lists this ribosomal RNA (512 nucleotides) under uncultured compost bacterium. Its description in RNAcentral is "bacterial SSU rRNA". It matches the Rfam family "Bacterial small subunit ribosomal RNA", at positions 382 to 886 of the family's 1533-position model. The record is from RNAcentral.
CCUGAUCCAGCCAUGCCGCGUGUGUGAAGAAGCCCUUUUGGUUGUAAAGCACUUUAAGCAGUGAAGAAGACUCUAUGGUUAAUACCCAUAGACGAUGACAUUAGCUGCAGAAUAAGCACCGGCUAACUCUGUGCCAGCAGCCGCGGUAAUACAGAGGGUGCAAGCGUUAAUCGGAAUUACUGGGCGUAAAGCGAGCGUAGGUGGCUUGAUAAGUCAGAUGUGAAAGCCCCGGGCUUAACCUGGGAACGGCAUCUGAUACUGUUAGGCUAGAGUAGGUGAGAGGAAGGUAGAAUUCCAGGUGUAGCGGUGAAAUGCGUAGAGAUCUGGAGGAAUACCGAUGGCGAAGGCAGCCUUCUGGCAUCAUACUGACACUGAGGUUCGAAAGCGUGGGUAGCAAACAGGAUUAGAUACCCUGGUAGUCCACGCCGUAAACGAUGUCUACUAGUCGUUGGGUCCCUUGAGGACUUAGUGACGCAGCUAACGCAAUAAGUAGACCGCCUGGGGAGUACGCC